This 859-nucleotide ribosomal RNA is filed under the name archaeon enrichment culture clone G24_3130. RNAcentral's name for it is "bacterial SSU rRNA". It matches the Rfam family "Archaeal small subunit ribosomal RNA", at positions 21 to 861 of the family's 1478-position model. The record is from RNAcentral.
CCCCACUGCUAUCGGGAUAGGACUAAGACAUGCUAGUCGAGUGACUCAGGCAAAACGAGUCACGGCACACAGCUCAGUAACACGUGGCUAAUCUGCCCUUGGGACAAGAACAACCCCGGGAAACUGGGGCUAACUCUUGAUAGGCGAAGAACACUGGAAUGUGUCUUCACCCAAAAAACUUCACGUUAUCCUCGUGAAGUCGCCCAAGGAUGAGGCCGCGACCGAUCAGGUUGUUGGCGAGGUAAUGGCUCACCAAGCCUUUUACCGGUGCGGGCCGUGGGAGCGGGAGCCCGGAGAUGGGUACUGAGACAAGGACCCAGGCCCUACGGGGCGCAGCAGUCGCGAAAACUUUGCAAUAAGCGAAAGCUUGACAGGGCUAUCCCGAGUGCCAUCCGCUGAGGAAGGCUUUUACCCAGUCUAGAACGCUGGGGGAAUAAGGAGAGGGCAAGUCUGGUGUCAGCCGCCGCGGUAAUACCAGCUCUCCGAGUGGUGUGGAUGUUUAUUGGGCCUAAAGCAUCCGUAGCUGGCUAAGUUAGUCCCUUGUUAAAUCCACCGAAUUAAUCGUUGGAUUGCGGGGGAUACUGCUUGGCUAGGGGACGAGAGAGGCAGACGGUAUUUUCGGGGUAGGGGUGAAAUCCUAUAAUCCCGGGAAGACCACCAGUGGCGAAGGCUGUCUGCUAGAACGCGCCCGACGGUGAGGGAUGAAAGCUGGGGGAGCGAACCGGAUUAGAUACCCGGGUAGUCCCAGCUGUAAACGAUGCAGGCUAGGUGUUUGGACGGCCACGUGCCGUUCUAGUGCCGCAGGGAAGCUGUUAAGCCUGCCGCCUGGGGAGUACGAUCGCAAGAUUGAAACUUAAAG